Molecule: long non-coding RNA, 716 nt
Filed under: Olea europaea subsp. europaea
Lineage: Eukaryota; Viridiplantae; Streptophyta; Magnoliopsida; Lamiales; Oleaceae
Source: RNAcentral
UGUGGUGCGAAUUUUAAAAUAAUCAUUGUCCUCGAUCCUUCGACCACGCUCCAUUACACACAAAAUCAUUAGAUACGAUGAAUCAUUUGUACAACUAUAACACCUUCAACUCCAACAAAAUUAAAGUACAAAAUACUACUACUUCACCAAGUAGCAUGGACAUUAAUUUAAUUAGAGUACAAAGAAAUGUCCAGUCUCAAUGUCCGUUCCACUUAACCAUAUCACAAUAUGGAAUUGAAGUAAUCUAAUAACCCCCCUUGACAUCAUUAACCACAUCAUAUGGAAUAGGAGUAAUAGUCUCCCAGGUGCGGGUCCCUUUGGCUGUUUUUUGGUGCUAAUUACUGCACAUCUUGAUUUAGCCUCAACCUUCAUUUUGACUGUACUCUUGAUCAUUCUGUAGAAAUUCCUCAUCACACCUCGAUCAACGCACAUGAUCAACUCAAAAAUCAACCCUUCGAAUGAGUCUGCUGCCUACCUGCAUCACGUGUGUGCUAAAGUAAAAUGACACAGUACAGAAUGUUCGUAACUAUCCAUCCAACCAACUUACAAACCAAAAAAUUUACUCACCCAUGGAAUAGGAAACGUGCAUGCAAUCUAAUCACCAAAAAAUGAACAACCCUUUCACAUAUCAUAAAUAAUACAUACCAUAAACAAUACAUGCCAUAAAUAUAAUGUUAAAGCCAAGGUAUAAGACAAGGAAGGCAUCCCACUAGACC